AGAGUUUGAUCCUGGCUCAGGAUGAACGCUGGCGGCGUGCCUAAUACAUGCAAGUCGAGCGAACAGAUAAGGAGCUUGCUCCUUUGACGUUAGCGGCGGACGGGUGAGUAACACGUGGAUAACCUACCUAUAAGACUGGGAUAACUUCGGGAAACCGGAGCUAAUACCGGAUAACAUAUUGAACCGCAUGGUUCAAUAGUGAAAGGCGGCUUUGCUGUCACUUAUAGAUGGAUCCGCGCCGUAUUAGCUAGUUGGUAAGGUAACGGCUUACCAAGGCAACGAUACGUAGCCGACCUGAGAGGGUGAUCGGCCACACUGGAACUGAGACACGGUCCAGACUCCUACGGGAGGCAGCAGUAGGGAAUCUUCCGCAAUGGGCGAAAGCCUGACGGAGCAACGCCGCGUGAGUGAUGAAGGUCUUCGGAUCGUAAAACUCUGUUAUCAGGGAAGAACAAAUGUGUAAGUAACUGUGCACAUCUUGACGGUACCUGAUCAGAAAGCCACGGCUAACUACGUGCCAGCAGCCGCGGUAAUACGUAGGUGGCAAGCGUUAUCCGGAAUUAUUGGGCGUAAAGCGCGCGUAGGCGGUUUUUUAAGUCUGAUGUGAAAGCCCACGGCUCAACCGUGGAGGGUCAUUGGAAACUGGAAAACUUGAGUGCAGAAGAGGAAAGUGGAAUUCCAUGUGUAGCGGUGAAAUGCGCAGAGAUAUGGAGGAACACCAGUGGCGAAGGCGACUUUCUGGUCUGUAACUGACGCUGAUGUGCGAAAGCGUGGGGAUCAAACAGGAUUAGAUACCCUGGUAGUCCACGCCGUAAACGAUGAGUGCUAAGUGUUAGGGGGUUUCCGCCCCUUAGUGCUGCAGCUAACGCAUUAAGCACUCCGCCUGGGGAGUACGACCGCAAGGUUGAAACUCAAAGGAAUUGACGGGGACCCGCACAAGCGGUGGAGCAUGUGGUUUAAUUCGAAGCAACGCGAAGAACCUUACCAAAUCUUGACAUCCUUUGACCGCUCUAGAGAUAGAGUCUUCCCCUUCGGGGGACAAAGUGACAGGUGGUGCAUGGUUGUCGUCAGCUCGUGUCGUGAGAUGUUGGGUUAAGUCCCGCAACGAGCG
This 1111-nucleotide ribosomal RNA is filed under the name Desertihabitans aurantiacus. RNAcentral's name for it is "bacterial SSU rRNA". It matches the Rfam family "Bacterial small subunit ribosomal RNA", at positions 8 to 1098 of the family's 1533-position model. The record is from RNAcentral. Lineage: Bacteria; Bacillati; Actinomycetota; Actinomycetes; Propionibacteriales; Propionibacteriaceae.